CAGUUUAAUAAAAACAAAUUUUAGAGUUC
Molecule: small RNA, 29 nt
Filed under: Bombyx mori (domestic silkworm)
Lineage: Eukaryota; Metazoa; Arthropoda; Insecta; Lepidoptera; Bombycidae
Description: ovarian small RNA-13381
Source: RNAcentral